Molecule: ribosomal RNA, 460 nt
Filed under: uncultured bacterium
Lineage: Bacteria
Description: partial 16S ribosomal RNA
Rfam family: Bacterial small subunit ribosomal RNA
Source: RNAcentral
CCUACGGGGGGCAGCAGUGAGGAAUAUUGGUCAAUGGACGAGAGUCUGAACCAGCCACGUAGCGUGCAGGAUGACUGCCCUAUGGGUUGUAAACUUCUUUUAUAUGGGAAUAAAAUGUUCCACGUGUGGGAUUUUGUAUGUACCAUAUGAAUACGGAUCGGCUGACUCCGUGCCAGCAGCCGCGGUAAUACGGAGGAUCCGAGCGUUAUCCGGAUUUAUUGGGUUUAAAGGGAGCGUAGGUGGAUUGUUAAGUCAGUGGUGAAAGUUUGCGGCUCAACCGUAAAAUUGCAGUUGAAACUGGCAGUCUUGAGUACAGUAGAGGUGGGCGGAAUUCGUGGUGUAGCGGUGAAAUGCUUAGAUAUCACGAAGAACUCCGAUUGCGAAGGCAGUUCACUGGACUGCAACUGACACUGAGGCUCGAAAGUGUGGGUAUCAAACAGGAUUAGAUACCCCAGUAGUC